GAAUAAGGCUACAGCACACCAACAAGCCCUCAACCGAUAUUCGGCUGGUGCUGGAGAUGACAAUAUCGACGAACAUGACAAAAAACAAGAGAGGCCUGAAGUUCAUCAAUGCGGACGCCAAUUAUAAUGCGGGACCUCGCCCAAGCAGCAGUGGUAAGCUUCCUUUACAUUAAUCCCCACACAUAAAAAGCAACCAAAUGUACAGUCAGUGCACUACCAGUUCGAUAAUCUCUCCAAUCUGUAAGAUCUAAUAUCGCUAAGGUUGAUUAUUACUUUAUUAUUUUACUCAUAGGGUCGUAGACCUUAUUUUCGCCCACUGCACAAAGAGAACUAUAAUUAGAAUAAUAUUCUACAUACCGUCCCUUAGCUUACAACACCGCUCAAGUCGAAAAUUGGCAGUUUCCACAUUUAAAUGCCUUUGGAUAGAUUCGCUCACUGCGCGUCUAACCAUUGGUCACAUGAUAUAGAUUUCGACCAAUCAGAUGCCGUAAUUCGAAAAGUAGGGGCAGCGCGCAAGUCGGUUGGCCUUU
Helicoverpa armigera (cotton bollworm) is the source of this 530-nucleotide long non-coding RNA. RefSeq lists it as uncharacterized. The transcript is spliced from 3 exons. The record is from RefSeq and is a predicted model, not a curated record. Lineage: Eukaryota; Metazoa; Arthropoda; Insecta; Lepidoptera; Noctuidae.